CCUACGGGAGGCAGCAGUGGGGAAUAUUGGACAAUGGGCGAAAGCCUGAUCCAGCAAUGCCGCGUGAGUGAUGAAGGCCUUAGGGUUGUAAAGCUCUUUUACCAGGGAUGAUAAUGACAGUACCUGGAGAAUAAGCUCCGGCUAACUCCGUGCCAGCAGCCGCGGUAAUACGGAGGGAGCUAGCGUUGUUCGGAAUUACUGGGCGUAAAGCGUACGUAGGCGGUUAUUCAAGUCAGAGGUGAAAGCCUGGAGCUCAACUCCAGAACUGCCUUUGAAACUAGAUAGCUAGAAUCUUGGAGAGGUGAGUGGAAUUCCGAGUGUAGAGGUGAAAUUCGUAGAUAUUCGGAAGAACACCAGUGGCGAAGGCGACUCACUGGACAAGUAUUGACGCUGAGGUACGAAAGCGUGGGGAGCAAACAGGAUUAGAUACCCUGGUAGUCCACGCCGUAAACGAUGAUAACUAGCUGUUCGGGCUCUACGAGCUUGAGUGGCGCAGCUAACGCAUUAAGUUAUCCGCCUGGGGAGUACGGUCGCAAGAUUAAAACUCAAAUGAAUUGACGG
RNAcentral lists this ribosomal RNA (561 nucleotides) under uncultured bacterium. RNAcentral describes it as "bacterial SSU rRNA". It matches the Rfam family "Bacterial small subunit ribosomal RNA", at positions 338 to 916 of the family's 1533-position model. The record is from RNAcentral.